GAGCUGGUGAAUUGGGCUCGGAAGAAUGGACAUUUGUCAGAAGUUGUGCUGAUAUUCAGCGUUGACGAAUGGCGGGAUAUUGGGGACCACAUGUGGGACUCAGUCAUCAGUGGUGGAAAGGAAGAAAAGUUGUUGCGGACCCUUGGCCCCUUGUGGAGGUCUAUUAUUAAUACUUUAAAAACUAUGCAAGCUGAGCGACAGGUAGCUGCUGCAGCUAUACAGGCACUGGCCGGUACAACAACUAAUUUGGCUUCAGAGUUUGACGUGCCUGUUCAGGGUAUCACACACCCUCUGUGUUCCUCAGCAGGUCAGGUAAAAGCAUCGGUAGAGGCAGCAGCCCCUGAUCUCUCGAAUGACAUUGCUACUGAGUCGUCUGCAGUAUUGCAGCAAGGAAAAGGGGCUAUACCUGACAUCACCCCUGAUGUACACUGCAAGGAGCAGUCUCCUGCAGAAUCAGAGAGCGACGAUGGGGGUGAGGGGUUGGAAAAACUGGAUUGCAAGGUUAAAAUAUUAAAAGAGCGAUUACGUAGCCUGGAAAUCUGUAUACAGCAAAAAAGAGAUACAGGGUCUGACCGAAGUUCUCAACCAGUGCCUUCUACGGGUCCUGUCCUACCGAUAGCGCCUGUUGCUCUACCGACUCACCCAGCAGCAGCUGCUCCCUCACGGUGGUCGGGGGUAAUCCGUGAUGCUAUAUUGGAGGGGCAAUGGGAAACAGUUUCUCAAAUUGCAUGCCCAGUGUUAUAUAAUCAGCAGGGUGCGCAACGGGAAUCCCAUGAUUGGAAAUUGUUACAACAAGCGCAGAAAAUGGUUACGGAGUACGGCCUUAAAGACGAGGCAUCUAAACAAAUUAUUCAAUGGAUUUUAACUGCUGAUGUGAAUAUACCAAACAAUAUAAGAAAUUUGGGUAGAUUGUCAUCAACACCAUCAGAAAAUUUGUUGUUUCUCCAAGAGUGGUCCAAUAGAGCACACCGUGAGGCUGCAACAGCUCAGCAGCCUGCCGAUUCACUGUACGGCAUUACAGCAGAAAUGCUGACAGGGAUAAGUCCCUAUGCCUCCUCUGACACACAGGUUUCUUUUCCAGCAGCUUUUCAUCGCUUGUUGACUAGACUGGCAUUGGAGGCAAUUUUUGCCAUUCCUUCUGGGAAAAAGGAAUCGACUUUUGCCACUGUGCACCAGGGGGUUACAGAACCGUUUGCUCGUUAUGUGGAUCGAAUGUGGGUAGCAGUUCAGGAUAGUGAUUUGCCUGAAGAAACUAAACAGCAGCUAUUUCGGGUUAUGGUGCAUGAUAAUGCCAAUAACCAUACUAAAGGUAUACUAGCUACGCUCCCACAAGGGGCCACAGUCGAAAGCAUGUUGCAACGCGUAGCCCGAGUUGAGCAAAGUCAACAGGUUUCACAAAUUGCCACCGCUGUGCAAGUGGCUAUGACUACACCGUCACCAAGAAGGGGCAGGAAUGAGAAGUUUACAUGCUAUCGUUGUGGUCUCAGUGGUCAUAUGCAGCACAGUUGCACUAAAAAGGUAUGGUGUGAUCAUUGUCAACAGCCCACUCAUUCUGCCCAGGUUUGCCGCAAGGCAGGAAAUGGCCAGCAGAGCGCGAAAGUUCGGCGUGCCCUGAUACAAGUACCGAGCAGCAACUCGGAGGCUGCCUUGAUCAAUAUGUCCCUGGCACCCGAGGUAGUCUCAGAGUGGACAUGGCAAUCGCAGUAGAUGCCUAUUUACAUGAUACUGUGGUUCACAGGGUGAAAUUAGAUUCCCACGGACCAUUGUCUCAACAUCAGCCUUUGCACGCUUUGCUGAUGGGUAAAUCUUCAUUGGGCCUAUCCAGUGUGAUGUUAAUUCCGGGGCUGAUAGAUUCCGAUUAUGUGAGACCUAUAUAUGCCUUAUUAUAUACUAUCACUCCUCCUGUAUUUAUUCCAGCUGGAUCAAGAAUCGCACAGUUAAUUCCCAUACCGGCCCAAACUCCUGCAAUGGACGGUCCUACUAGGAUAGGGAGUUUUGGGUCGCCUGGCCCUCUAGCCUGUCUAACAACUUAUUUAGGGAAACAGCCAA
This is a long non-coding RNA of Chrysolophus pictus (golden pheasant), 2049 nucleotides long. NCBI's taxonomy places the organism in Eukaryota, Metazoa, Chordata, Aves, Galliformes, Phasianidae. The record is from Ensembl.